AUGACCAGCCCCGCGGCCGCGCAGAGCCGGGAGAUCUACUGUUUGAGCCCGGAAGCGCAGAGGCUGGCGGAGGCUCGGCUCGCCGCAAAACGGGCGGCCCGCGCGAAGGCUCGUGAGAUCCCCAUGAAGGAGCUGGAGCGGCAGCAGAAGGAGGUAGAAGACAGACCAGAAAAGUAUUUUACUGCGAAGGGGUCUCGUAACAUGCCGGGCCUGUCUGCAGCCACGCUGGCCUUUCUGGGUGGGACUUCCUCUCGGAGAGGCAGCGGAGACACCUCCAUCUCCAUGGACACCGAGGCGUCCAUCAUGGAAAUCAAAGACUCUCUAGCAGAAGUUGAAGAGAAAUAUAAGAAGGCUAUGUUUUCCAAUGCUCAGCUAGACAAUGAAAAGACAAACUUCAUGUACCAAGUUGAUACCCUGGAAGAUAUGUUGCUGGAGGUUGACGAACAGCUGGCUGAAUCUAGGCGGCAGUACGAAGAGAAAAACGAAGAAUUUGAAAGGGAAAAACACGCCCACAGUAUACUGCAGUUUCAGUUUGCUGAAGUCAAGGAAGCCCUGAAGCAAAGAGAGGACAUGCUCGAGAAACAUGGAAUAAUCCUAAAUUCAGAAAUAGCCACCAAUGGAGAGACUUCCGACACUCUCAAUAGUAUUGGAUACCAAGAUCCUACCAAGAUGACGAAAGAAGAGUUAAAUGCCCUCAAGUCGACAGGGGAGGGGACCCUAGGAAAGCCAGUGAAGUGGAGGUGAAGAAUGAAAUCGUGGCAAAUGUGGGGAAAAGAGAAAUCUUGCACAAUACUGAGAAAGAGCAACACACAGAGGACACAGUGAAGGAUUGUGUGGACAUAGAGGUAUUCCCUGCUGGUGAGAAUACCGAGGACCAGAAAUCCUCUGAAGACACUGCCCCAUUCCUAGGAAACUUAGCAGGUGCUACCUAUGAGGAACAGGUUCAAAGCCAAAUUCUUGAGAGCGCUUCUCUCCCUGAAAACACAGCACGGGUUGAGUCAAAUGAGGUCAUGGGUGCACCAGAUAACAGGACCAGAACUCCCCUUGAGCCAUCCAACUGUUGGAGUGACUUAGAUGGUGGGAGCCACACAGAGAAUAUGGGAGAGGCCACGGUGACUCAGGUUGGAGAGCAGGCAGGCACAGUGGACUUGUGUCCUUUAGAGCAUAGUGAUGACACAGUUUAUCAUGAUGACAGAUGUAUGGUAGAGGUCCCCCAAGAUUUAGAGACAAGCAUAGGGCAUAGUUUAGAGAAAGAAUUCACCAACCAGGAAGCAGCUGAGCCCAAGGAGUUUCCAGUGCAGAGUACAGAAGCAGGUAGGGAUCACAACGAAGAAGAGGGUGAAGAAACAGGAUUAAGGGAUGAGAAACCAAUCAAGACAGAAGUUCCUGGUUGUCCAGCAGGAACUGAGAGCAAGGGUCAGGAGGUGAGAAGUCCAAGGACAGUUGACACUCAGAGUGAACCCUUAGAUAUGAAAGAGCCAGAUGAAGAAAAGAAUGACCAACAGGGAGAGAGGCAUUGGACUCAUCGCAGAGGAAGAAAAAGAACAAGAAAAAGAGAAGAAGAAAAAAUCCCCAGUACCCACAGAAACCCUUAAAGAUGUUAAAAAAAAGAAUUAACUUAUCAGAACACGGAUUUAAGUGAAAUGAAGGAAGAGCAGGUAAAGUCUACUGACAGAAAGUCAGCAGUGGAAGCCCAAAACGAGGUGACUGAAAAUGCAAAACAGAAAAUUGCAGCAGAAAGCGGUGAAAAUGUUGAUUGUCCAGAGAAUCCUAAAAUUAAGUUGGAUGGAAAACUUGACCAAGAAGGCAAUGAUGUAAAAACAGCAGCUGAUAGACACACAUUAGAUUUUGAGGAUGUCACAGUUCAAUCAUCAGGCCCGAGGGUUGGUGGUGAAGAAUUACGUGAAGAUGUUGCAAAAGAUAAUGCUAAAAUAGAUGGUGCCACUCAAAGCAGUCUUGAAGAACCAGAGAGUGAAGAUGCAGAUGGCUGCACCCUGCCCAAAAAUGAAAGUCCCUCACAGGACAUUAGUGAUGCCUGUGAAGCAGAAAGUACAGAGAGGUGUGGGAUGUCAGAACAUCCAAGUCAGACUGUCAGGAAAGCUUUAGAUAGCAAUAGCCUAAAAAACGAUGACUUGUUGGCACCAGGAGGAGAGCUGGGGGACUUCAAUCCAGAAAGCAGAGAAGAUACCAGAAGAGGGAACGAGAAAGGCAAAAGCAAAGAAGACUGUACCAUGUCCUAAGCUGAGCCAGGAGGCAGGCGUGGUGCACAGGAAGUCUGAGUGUGAGGUGCUUUUUUCUUUCCACUGCCAAUGACAGCCUUUCCUGCCUCAGGGAAGAAGAGAGAGACAGACUACAGUGAUGGAGACCCAUUAGAUGUGCACAAGAGGCUGCCAUCCAGUGCUGGAGAGGACCGAGCCAUGGUGCUGGGGUUUGCCAUGAUGGGCUUCUCAGUCCUAAUGUUCUUCUUGCUUGGAACAACCAUUCUAAAGCCUUUUAUGCUCAGCAUUCAGAGAGAAGAAUCAACCUGCACUGCCAUCCACACAGGUAUCAUGGACGACUGGCUGGACUGUGCCUUCACCUGUGGUGUGCACUGCCGCGGUCAGGGGAAGUACCCGUGUCUUCGGGUGUUUGUGAACCUCACGCAUUCAGGUCAGAAAGCUCUCCUACGUUAUAAUGAAGAGGCUGUCCAGAUAAAUCCCAAGUGCUUUUACACACCUAAGUGCCACCAAGAUAGAAAUGAUUUGCUCAACAGUGCUCUGGACAUAAAGCAAUUCUUCGAUCUCAAAAAUGGAACCCCCUUUUCAUGCUUCUACAGUCCAGCCAGCCAAUUUGAAGAUGUCAUUCUUUUAAAAAAGUAUGACCACAUGGCUAUCUUCCACUGUUUAUUUUGGCCUUCACUGACUCUGGUAGGUGGUGCCCUGAUUGUUGGCAUGGUGAGAUUAACACAACACCUGUCCUUACUGUGUGAAAAAUAUAGCACUGUAGUCAGAGAUGAGGUAAGUGGAAAAGUACCUUAUAUAGAACAGCAUCAGUUCAAACUGUGGAGUAUGAGGAGGAGCAAAGGAAGGAGGCAGAGAAAUCUUAAGACGGUAGCCAAAUUAAAGUGCCGGCCUUCAGAUGUCUGUGAUUUCUGCACCCGAGGACCUAAUUAUGCCUGUCUGCAAACUAACAAUGUAAAAGGUAAUAAUUAAAGCUAAGUAUCAUAUUUUCAUGUGG
Nomascus leucogenys (northern white-cheeked gibbon) is the source of this 3216-nucleotide RNA transcript. It is a transcript of the gene named leucine-rich repeat flightless-interacting protein 1 pseudogene, with no coding region annotated. Lineage: Eukaryota; Metazoa; Chordata; Mammalia; Primates; Hylobatidae. The transcript is spliced from 4 exons. The record is from RefSeq and is a predicted model, not a curated record.